Molecule: ribosomal RNA, 253 nt
Filed under: uncultured bacterium
Lineage: Bacteria
Description: partial 16S ribosomal RNA
Rfam family: Bacterial small subunit ribosomal RNA
Source: RNAcentral
GACGUAGGUCCCAAGCGUUAUCCGGAUUUACUGGGCGUAAAGGGCGUGUAGGUGGCUUGGUCCGUCGGUUGUUUAAACCCACAGCUCAACUGUGGAUCUGCAAUCGAUACAAUCAAGCUAGAGUUAGGUAGGGGCGAGCGGAAUUCUCGGAGUAGGGGUGAAAUCCAUUGAUACCGAGAGGAACACAAAGGGCGAAGGCAGCUCGCUGGGCCAUAACUGACACUGAGGCGCGAAAGCGUAGGGAGCAAACGGG